UACGUAGGGGGCGAGCGUUGUCCGAAGUUACUGGGCGUAAAGCGCGCGUAGGCGGCUCUUUAAGUCUGGCGUGAAAGGUUCAGGGCUCAACCCGAACAGUGCGCUGGAGACUGGAGAGCUUGAGGACGGGAGAGGGAAGCGGAAUUCCGGGUGUAGCGGUGAAAUGCGUAGAUAUCCGGAGGAACACCGAUGGCGAAGGCGGCAUCCUGGACCGACACUGACGCUGAGGAGCGAAAGCCAGGGGAGCAAACGGG
Molecule: ribosomal RNA, 254 nt
Filed under: uncultured bacterium
Lineage: Bacteria
Description: partial 16S ribosomal RNA
Rfam family: Bacterial small subunit ribosomal RNA
Source: RNAcentral